This 821-nucleotide long non-coding RNA is filed under the name Olea europaea subsp. europaea. The record is from RNAcentral. Lineage: Eukaryota; Viridiplantae; Streptophyta; Magnoliopsida; Lamiales; Oleaceae.
CCUUGCAUUGUUAAUGUGAUUAAAACUGAUGUCGCAGACGAAGCCGACAUGGAUAUAGAGAUGCUUGACGUCCCUGAACAAAUGCAUAUCCCCGAACAGGAGGAAGACGUCAACAUGAUCGAGGCCUCUGGAGAAGGGCACCCUCUUGAUGAGUUGGAUUCUCGAAUUAUCGAGUCUGAACCAAAUGCAAUCUAACGGAAGAACUUGAAACUUUUUCCACCAACUCUCAAGACCCCACUCAGGUCUUGCGAAUGGGAAAAGUACUGCCUCCUAAAAUAAAAGAGAAACUGAUGAAUUUCCUGAAAAGAAAUUUGGACGUCUUUGCUUGAAAGCAUGAGGACAUGGUGGGAAUAGACCCAGGGGUCGGUUGCCAUCAUCUUAACAUCAACUCCACCUAUACCCCCACAUCGAUAAAAGAGACGAGCCCUCAAUCCAGAGCGAUAUGAGGCACUCAAAGAAGAGGUUGACAAAUUGAGCCACAACGGCUUCAUCAGAGAAUUCAUCUACCCGAAGUGGAUAUCCAACUCAGUCUUUGUGAAGAAACCUAGCAAAAAAUGGAGGGUAUGCGUUAUACGGAUGAGUGUGAAAUAGACGGAUGAGUGUGAAAUAGCCUUCCAAACGCUAAAGAAGCACUUGGGAGAGGAACCCAUGCUAUCGAAGCCCAAAUCAGGAUCAGUGCGAUUCUCAUCAGGAAGGAAGACACACGCCAACGACUAGUGUAUUACACUAGCAAAUCAUUGCUCCAAGUAGAGACGCGCUACUCAAAUAUGGAGAAACUUGCACUCUCCCUUAUCACAGCAUCGAGGAAACUGAGGUCAUAC